GGAAGGAAGGAAGGAAGGAAGGAAGGAAGGAAGGAAGGAAGGAAGGAAGGAAGGAAGGAAGGAAGGAAGGAAGGAAGGAAGGAAGGAAGGAAGGAAAACCCUCCUAACGAGGAAUAAAACCCAUUUUAGUCUCAUGCCCAUUGGCGUUUAGAGCUCCACUGACUUUACCAGUUGCAGCAUCUCCAGGCAGGAAGUGUAACAAACACUGGACUUUAAUUUUGACAAAUUCUGCAAAUUAUGGUUUACACACCACUCCACGGAGCCAGUGCAAUUCAGAGACUGCAGCAUAUCCUAACUGCUUCUUCAUUUUGCAGAGUGUGAUUCAAUUCCAGUUGACAAGGAUCAUCACAAAAGUGAGAGGUUAUUUCAGUUUCCACAACCCAUUCAUCACUUGGCCUGCCAGCAUCAAAGCCAAGAAGUGUGCCAAUUAUUGUGAUAUACUUCUAUUAAUUUCAGGAUUUACUGCAAAAAUUGCUGGUCUGGAUACUCUGGAAGUACUGGGACUUGAGCAUGUAAUAAAACUGAGCAUUGAAUUAAACUAAAUGGAUCUUAAUGAUGCAUAUGAAAAAGUGCAUAACUUUGGAUAUAAACAUCUGGCUGAUGACCGGUGAGGGAUUGGCCAGUGUUCAUUUGUAACACUGCUCACUAUCAGAUAAGAUCCAAACAACCCAUUUCAUCAUGAACCAGUGCCACUGACAGACAUUCUUCUGCAGUUCUGUUCAGAGCAGUUUGUCCUGGAUGCAAUUUGAACUCUGCAGCCAGCAUCACUAUGGCACUGUUGGUGACCUCAAUGGAUAAUGUGGUGUUAUCCUCAAAUUGCUAUUCAGGCAAAAACUUUCACAUUGUUUACCCAUUACUUCUCGGAGGGAAUCUUAAAUAAUCUUUUCAUUUGAUGCAGUUUUCCUAAUUUCAUUUCAAAUCAUAUAACAGGUUUUUGCUUGGAGGAGAUGAUUUCCAUAAUUUUAGCUAGAAGUUAAAAUAUGCGUGGAACAAGGACAGAAACUAAUCCUCAAAAAUACCUAUUGAGCUUUUAGCCCACGAUAUUUUUUAAAUCACAGUUGCUCAUAUUUCAUGGGGUUUUUUCUUCUUUUCUUUUUUCUUAUUUUCUUCAUUUGUAAAAUUAAUUUGGUCUCAUGUCAUAAGCCCAUUUUGAUGCUACCUUUAGUUAUUCUCAAAUUAUUUUUUCCAUGUGAAAUAGCUUAUUCCCACUGAAGACAUUUACAGUCCCACUGUUUUUAAUGUAAGCAGGUUUUGACCCAUUGAAUACAAAAGGCUUUAAACAGUCCAUUUUAAAAGACAUUUUUUUCUUUUGCUAUGAACCCCUGAGGUACUAUGCCAAGGUUAGGAAGCUGUGCGUAGUUAUUUUUGUGCUUUAUAAAAUCUUUAAUAUUUUCAGUGCAUAAAUCAUUUUUAGCUUUACCUAAUUUUGGAGCAUAAAGGGCACGUCAAACUUUACUAAA
Passer domesticus (house sparrow) is the source of this 1460-nucleotide long non-coding RNA. RefSeq lists it as uncharacterized. NCBI's taxonomy places the organism in Eukaryota, Metazoa, Chordata, Aves, Passeriformes, Passeridae. The transcript is spliced from 4 exons. The record is from RefSeq and is a predicted model, not a curated record.